Long non-coding RNA from Cebus imitator (Panamanian white-faced capuchin), 515 nucleotides. RefSeq lists it as uncharacterized. The record is from RefSeq and is a predicted model, not a curated record. Lineage: Eukaryota; Metazoa; Chordata; Mammalia; Primates; Cebidae. The transcript has 3 exons.
UAACGCAUUCACUUGUUCAAUAGUAUAUAUUGAGCACUUACUGUGUGCCACAGUGAUCAAGGCAGACCCUGCUGUCAGGGAGAGAGAGGCAGACAGCAGGCAGAUGCCCAGGUUUGGUGGUAUCUGCAGUGAAAUGUGCCUUGAAGAAAACCAGUGCGAUGUAAAGGGGGAAUACAGGUGUGAUGCAGGGGGUCAGACACGGGACUGCGCCCUAGGCCGCCUCUGAUGGAAACUCCAAGAUUCUAUGACUUCCCUGAGAGCUCCUCUGCCAGGAAAUGCCAGCCUCAGCCUAGCGAGAGGGGGAGCCUGACCCUGCGGAUAACUCAUUUGUGGAAGGCAUUCUGGAGGAGGCAAUGAAGAGCAAACUACACUCCCAUGUUUCCACAGAGCUGUUAAAUUAGCCCAGUGAGGAGAGGGCCAUGAAUACAAAUUGCUCUAUCGCAUGAAAGCAUGUGGUUAAAUGGUACCAAAGAAAGAAAAAUCAGAAUCAGGAGGAGGAAUUUAGGAGAGCUUGA